This 73-nucleotide transfer RNA is filed under the name Gossypium barbadense (sea-island cotton). It matches the Rfam family "tRNA". Rfam says of the family: Transfer RNA (tRNA) molecules are approximately 80 nucleotides in length. Their secondary structure includes four short double-helical elements and three loops (D, anti-codon, and T loops). RNAcentral also lists the same sequence under 1 other name. The record is from Rfam by way of RNAcentral. Lineage: Eukaryota; Viridiplantae; Streptophyta; Magnoliopsida; Malvales; Malvaceae.
GCCGUUUUUGCUCAGUCGGGAGAUAUCAUGGCUUUUAACCAUGUGGUCGUGGGUUCGAUUCCCACAGACGGCG